UACAGAGACCUCAAGCGUUAUCCGGAAUCAUUGGGCGUAAAGCGUGCCGAUAGGCGGUCUGGCAAGUUUUUUGUUAAAGUCCAUGGCUCAACCAUGGGAAUACGGAAAAUACUAUCAGACUAGAGGGGCAAAGAGGUGCUUGGAACGAACGGUGUAGCAGUGAAAUGCGUUGAUAUCGUUCGGAACACCGAUAGCGAAGGCAGAGCACUGGGUGCCACCUGACGCUGCUAGGACGAAAGCGUGGGGAGCGAAUGGG
RNAcentral lists this unclassified non-coding RNA (256 nucleotides) under uncultured Parcubacteria group bacterium. RNAcentral describes it as "contains 16S-23S intergenic spacer region". It matches the Rfam family "Bacterial small subunit ribosomal RNA", at positions 524 to 776 of the family's 1533-position model. The record is from RNAcentral.